UUGGAGGGCAAGUCUGGUGCCAGCAGCCGCGGUAAUUCCAGCUCCAAUAGCGUAUAUUAAAGUUGUUGUGGUUAAAAAGCUCGUAGUUGAACCUUGGGCCUAGCCGGCCGGUCCGCCUCACCGCGUGCACUGGCUCGGCUGGGUCUUUCCUUCUGGAGAACCGCAUGCCCUUCACUGGGUGUGCCGGGGAACCAGGACUUUUUACUCUGAACAAAUUAGAUCGCUUAAAGAAGGCCUAUGCUCGAAUACAUUAGCAUGGAAUAAUAGAAUAGG
RNAcentral lists this ribosomal RNA (273 nucleotides) under uncultured Ascomycota. Its description in RNAcentral is "partial 18S ribosomal RNA". It matches the Rfam family "Eukaryotic small subunit ribosomal RNA", at positions 548 to 826 of the family's 1831-position model. Lineage: Eukaryota; Fungi; Ascomycota. The record is from RNAcentral.